UGGGCGNAGCCUGAUCCAGCCAUGCCGCGUGAGUGAAGAAGGCCUUCGGGUUGUAAAGCUCUUUCGGCCGGAACGAAAUCGCCUCUUUUAAUACGGGGGGUGGAUGACGGUACCGGAAGAAGAAGCACCGGCUAACUACGUGCCAGCAGCCGCGGUAAUACGUAGGGUGCGAGCGUUAAUCGGAAUUACUGGGCGUAAAGCGUGCGCAGGCGGCUCUUUAAGUCAGAUGUGAAAGCCCCGGGCUUAACCUGGGAACUGCGUUUGAAACUGGAGGGCUGGAGUGUGGCAGAGGGAGGUGGAAUUCCACGUGUAGCAGUGAAAUGCGUAGAGAUGUGGAGGAACACCGAUGGCGAAGGCAGCCUCCUGGGUCAACACUGACGCUCAUGCACGAAAGCGUGGGGAGCAAACAGGAUUAGAUACCCUGGUAGUCCACGCCCUAAACGAUGUCGACUGGUUGUUGGGGAAGGAAACUUCCUUAGUAACGAAGCUAACGCGUGAAGUCGACCGCCUGGGGAGUACGGCCGCAAGGUUAAAACUCAAAAAAAUUGACGGA
Molecule: ribosomal RNA, 553 nt
Filed under: uncultured bacterium
Lineage: Bacteria
Description: bacterial SSU rRNA
Rfam family: Bacterial small subunit ribosomal RNA
Source: RNAcentral